GAUUAAGUGUUAUAAGGGCAUUUAGUGGAUGCCUAGGCAUGCACAGGCGAUGAAGGACGUGAUACGCUGCGAA
Molecule: ribosomal RNA, 73 nt
Filed under: Martinezella rhizogenes
Lineage: Bacteria; Pseudomonadati; Pseudomonadota; Alphaproteobacteria; Hyphomicrobiales; Rhizobiaceae
Description: Rhizobium rhizogenes partial 23S ribosomal RNA
Source: RNAcentral